Molecule: unclassified non-coding RNA, 312 nt
Filed under: plant metagenome
Description: partial contains 5.8S ribosomal RNA, internal transcribed spacer 2, and large subunit ribosomal RNA
Rfam family: 5.8S ribosomal RNA (bases 1-105)
Source: RNAcentral
GAAAUGCGAUAAGUAAUGUGAAUAGCAGAAUUCCGUGAAUCAUCGAAUCUUUGAACGCACAUUGCUCCCUCUGGCAUUCCGGGGGGCAUGCCUGUCCGAGCGUCAUUACGCACCCUCAAGCCCGGCUUGUGUGAUGGGCCCCGGCGUCUCGUUCGCGAGACGGGCCCGAAAGGCAGCGGCGGCGUCGACCCGAUGAGCCCGAGCGUAUGGGGACUUCUGUCACACGUUCGCGGUGCGGACCGGCGCCUGCUUGACUUUUCUGAUUAUCCAGGUUGACCUCGGAUCAGGUAGGGAUACCCGCUGAACUUAAGC